RNAcentral lists this non-coding RNA (104 nucleotides) under Mucilaginibacter mallensis. Its description in RNAcentral is "SAM-I sequence". It matches the Rfam family "SAM riboswitch aptamer (S box leader)". From Rfam's summary of the family: The SAM riboswitch is found upstream of a number of genes which code for proteins involved in methionine or cysteine biosynthesis in Gram-positive bacteria. The record is from Rfam by way of RNAcentral. Lineage: Bacteria; Pseudomonadati; Bacteroidota; Sphingobacteriia; Sphingobacteriales; Sphingobacteriaceae.
GAUUUAUUAAGAAGAAGGGAGAGGAAGCUCUGUGAUCUUCUAGCAACUUUUCAGUAAUUGAAAUAAGUGCUUUACUUUUUCCUAAAUGUUUAGGAAAAUAAAUU